AGCUUCCUACGGGAGGCAGCAGUGGGGAAUAUUGCACAAUGGGGGAAACCCUGAUGCAGCGACGCCGCGUGAGCGAUGAAGUAUUUCGGUAUGUAAAGCUCUAUCAGCAGGGAAGAAAAUGACGGUACCUGACUAAGAAGCCCCGGCUAACUACGUGCCAGCAGCCGCGGCAAUACGUAGGGGGCAAGCGUUAUCCGGAUUUACUGGGUGUAAAGGGGGCGCAGACGGCGAUGCAAGCCAGGAGUGAAAGCCCGGGGCCCAACCCCGGGACUGCUCUUGGAACUGCGUGGCUGGAGUGCAGGAGG
This 305-nucleotide ribosomal RNA is filed under the name uncultured bacterium. Its description in RNAcentral is "bacterial SSU rRNA". It matches the Rfam family "Bacterial small subunit ribosomal RNA", at positions 333 to 655 of the family's 1533-position model. The record is from RNAcentral.